GGGUGGUUUUGGGUUUGGUUUGAGGAUUCGGAGCUCGUGGUGCUGAGUGCCGCCGUUGGGUUGGGGCCAGCGCUGCAUGAUGCGUCUGUGUAGAGUCGUGGGGUUGUUGGAGGUGGGAAUGAAGGCCGAGGUCGUGAGUCUGACCCCCAAAUCAUCCCCACCAUAGAGCCACUAAGAUGGGAAAUGACCACGGAGGUCAUCCUACCCCCAUCCCAUCCCCAUUACAGAGACUUAAGGCUGGAAGGGACCACUGUGGUCAUCCAACCCCAUCUUGUCCCCACCAUGGAACCAUUUAAGGUAGGAAAUGGCCACAGAGGUCAUCGCUCCAACCCUCGGCUCUCUUUCCUUUUGGGUUCUGUUCCGGCGUUGUUGGGUUGGGUUUUUGGGGGCAGUUUUGGGUUUGGUUUGAGGAUUCGGAGCUCGUGGUGCUGAGUGCCGCCGUUGGGUUGGGGCCAGCGCUGCAUGAUGCGUCUGUGUAGAGUCGUGGGGUCGUUGGAGGUGGGAAUGACCUCAUCCAGCCCCCAAAUCAUCCCCACCAUAGAGCCACUAAGAUGGGAAAUGACCACGGAGGUCAUCCUACCCCCAUCCCAUCCCCAUUAUAGAGCCUUAAGACUGGAAGGGACCACUGUGGUCAUCCAACUUCCAUCGCAUCCCCACCAUAGAGCCACUAAGGUGGGAAAUGGCCACAGAGGUCAUCGCUCCAACCCUCGGCUCUCUUUCCUUUUGGGUUCUGUUCCGGCGUUGUUGGGUUGGGUUUUUGGGGUUGGUUUUGGGUUUGGUUUGAGGAUUCGGAGCUCGUGGUGCUGAGUGCCGCCGUUGGGUUGGGGCCAGCGCUGCAUGAUGCGUCUGUGUAGAGUCGUGGGGUCGUUGGAGGUGGGAAUGAAGGCCGAGGUCGUGAGUCUGACCCCCAAAUCAUCCCCACCAUAGAGCCACUAAGAUGGGAGAUGACAGAGGUCAUCCUACCCCCAUCCCAUCUCCAUUACAGAGCCAUUAAGACUGGAAGGGACCACUGUGGUCAUCCAAAUUCCAUCGCAUCCCCACCAUAGAGCCACUAAGGCUGGAAGGGACCACUGUGGUCAUCCAACCCCAACUCAUUUGCACCACAGACCCAUCAAAACUGGAAAGGCCACUGUAGGGUCACCCCGUUGCCCUCAGCCCAUCAAUCCCACUCCAGGUCCUUCCAUAGGGUCGCACCAUUGGCCUCAACCCAUUCACCCCUGUCCAGAUCCCUCUGCAGGGUCACAACCUAUCAAUCUCUCUCCAGAUCUCUCUGUAGGAGCUCAUCAGUUCCUCUCCAGAUCCCUCCGUAGGAUCUCAGCCCGUUGAUCUCUCUCCAGAUCCCUCUGUAAGGCCACACCGUUGGCCUCAGCCCACUCAUCCCUUUCCAGAUCUCUCUAUAGGGUCGCACCACUGGUCUCAACCUCUCCAGAUCCCUCUGUAGGGUCUCAGCCCAUCUUUCCCACCUCUCCAGAUCACCUCUUCUUUUUAAUUUACUUUUCCACUCCUCUGCAUGCAGCAGUUUGCUUCUGAGGUGCGUUUGCUUCGUUUCGCCUUCCCUUGGAGGAGGUUGGAGUGCAUUCUGCACCAAAAAAAAUGCCUUUUAUUUUGAGAGGAAAUCUGCUCUUUUCGGAGCUUCAGAAGGAGCCGAGGGCACAGCUAUCAUCGUCCCCCAAUAUUCUCCCAUUCCUGAUCCCCC
This is a long non-coding RNA of Tympanuchus pallidicinctus (lesser prairie-chicken), 1696 nucleotides long. RefSeq lists it as uncharacterized. The transcript has 3 exons. The record is from RefSeq and is a predicted model, not a curated record. Lineage: Eukaryota; Metazoa; Chordata; Aves; Galliformes; Phasianidae.